RNAcentral lists this unclassified non-coding RNA (205 nucleotides) under Hevea brasiliensis (rubber tree). Lineage: Eukaryota; Viridiplantae; Streptophyta; Magnoliopsida; Malpighiales; Euphorbiaceae. The record is from RNAcentral.
AGAGGAGGAUGCCUUUCUUUAGGUGUGGUAUGUUAUCAUGACACUGAUCGGCAUCAUGCUUGGUAAUUAUUUACUGGUCUCUAGGAAAAGGAAAUGACAGGUUGAUACUUUGAUUUUUAUUGCAGAGCAACUGAUGAUUGCUUGUUAUUGUCUUGUAUAAUACAACAUUUUCAAAUGGAAUACACGAACUUUUUAUUUUUUGGCA